AUAAAGAUCUUUAGACAUGAGAUUUAUUUUAGAACCAUGGUCGACCAAAGCAACUAUUGGUUCUUCUAUAUCUCCUACCUUCACCAAUACCUCAGUAGUUGCCCUUGCCCAAUGCUUUCGAGUAUAAUGGCUCAAAGUUUCCAUUUCCUUGUCACUAGAAUCUUCGAAACGUACUCGCUGAUUAUACCCAUUCUUUUCAUUUGUUGGUUGCUUGUAACCAAUAUCAACUUCUUCUUCAUCUCUACAUAUUCUUGCAUCAAUAGCAUGAUUCAUUCCAGUUUCGCUCAUUAAUUGCCUCUUUCGCUUAAUGCUGUCAAUGAUAACAUCAUGAAACUCCUUCUUUG
Molecule: long non-coding RNA, 344 nt
Filed under: Physcomitrium patens
Lineage: Eukaryota; Viridiplantae; Streptophyta; Bryopsida; Funariales; Funariaceae
Description: long non-coding RNA (PPAT_LNC002341)
Source: RNAcentral